Long non-coding RNA from Triticum urartu, 1811 nucleotides. RefSeq lists it as uncharacterized. The record is from RefSeq and is a predicted model, not a curated record. NCBI's taxonomy places the organism in Eukaryota, Viridiplantae, Streptophyta, Magnoliopsida, Poales, Poaceae.
AAAAAAACCUCUAUUAAACCAAAACUACCAAACGAAUCCUCCGCCUCCUCCCCUGCUCUCGCCAUCGCCCGCAGAGCUCCACCCAAUCCCUCGCUCGCUCGGUGAGAUCCAAGGCGGGCGCGUCGGCUGGGAGCGGACCCACGCGGGAGGAGGAGUUCGGCGAGCAUGAGCUGGAGGUGGCAGCCAUUCUCGCGGACCUGUCGUCCAUCGUGCGGGCCAGCAGCAGGAGCAGGCGCGGCCGGAGAUCCCCUCGUGGAGCCGGCGCCGGCCGAGGAAGGCCCUAGCGGCUCCGCCGGCGAAGAAGCCCGCGGCCGAUAGCCCGGACACCCCGCUCGCCUUCCUCGACGACGACGAGGCGGCGGCAGCGCAGGACAAGUCGGCGCAGGAGCAGCGCGGCGAUUUUGACGAGUAGGAGAUGGAGCGCGUCACAAGCACCUUGGCUGCACCCUGAGGUUAUCCAUCAGGCAAACUGUCAUCGCACUGUCGUUCACGAUGUUGCUCCCAAGCCUCCCGACGAGAUUGACUCUUUCACAAAUCAUGUCAACAAGACUAGCAAUUUGAAGAGGCUGCUGCACAUGAUAUGAAGAUAUUGGCAUAUACAGUCCCAAACAUAAGUUUCAAAAUAGCAGGUGUGGAGUUUAGCCCUGUUCCGCUGUAUGGAAAGCCAUGACCUCCACACAGAUGAUGCAAGAGGAAAGAAGCUAGACUCACAACUUUGGUUUUCAGGCAUCUUCACCAACAAAUAUUACCCUGGUACUGACAGCAAAUCAAGGACUUUAGAGCCUGGCCGCAGACCUCACGGAGCACCAACGAUAGCCUCAAGGUGAUUCAGCAGAGCAAGGUGAUGAGUACUCAGCUGGCUGGUCAAUAUCAAUGAUCUUAUCGGCCGGCAAAGCGGAGACGGACGACCACGGUCCCGACCUUGCCAGCAGGCGGAGACAAUAAAUGGGAUCAAGGGAAGUUGGUCGGGCUCCAGUGGCACAUGCUUACCACUGCUGACUCUUGCCGGGAAAGGUAUGUUGGUUUGAUUCUUUCAAGAUCCCAAACUAAAACAAGUCACCUAUGAAAUUUGAAUGAUGCAAAGGUUUGUUGUCUCUUCCCAAGAAAUUGUGUGCAGAGAAGCUGCCUUGAUUUUACAUGCUGAACCUAUUUUUGCAUAAUCAAACACUGACGAUAAGAGAGAUGAAUGUGCAGUAUGCUAAAUUUGGGUAUCCAAUUGCAAAAGAAUUGGAUUAUUAUUUACAUUAGAAGCCAGGUUAUCACUAUGUAUUUUAAAUUGAUCGCUCAUGGACCGCUCAAUUGGCCAUAAACACAACAUAAUUCGAUCCCUCCCUUCAAAUUGGCAACUAAAGGGAAGGUGAGUUAAAAUGUCUCAGCCCCUGUGACCUGGCUGGUUAUGUUUAUAUUACAUCCAAUAUUAUGUGUACUCAUUUGAUCUAAGGUUAUUUUUAAUAACUUGUUUUUUUUGUCACGAACAAAUCGAUGAACCGGCGGUCCAACCGGUGACAGACGCAACGGUUCAGUUGCCCGUUCGGUUUUAAAAAAUAUAGUCCGAUGGCCAUGGUGGAAGAACACGACAUGAAGUGCUUUGUAUCCCGAGAACGACGAGGAGACAUGAUCAGCCGGUGGCAGUGCUUCGCACUUCGAGCAGUAGGGAUACUUGAUCAUAGGGAAAGGGAAGGGAGAUGAGUUCGUGCUUGCAUGAUUUUUAGGGAAAGAGCGUGUGUAUUGUACUUCUGUGUGCAUGAAGUGUUUUGUUUGGGCCAAGCCCAAAUAAUGAAAAUAAAACACUAUCUCUAAAACUAUUCAAA